GCCCCCAGGUUUCAGCUCCAGUCAGUUGUUCCCUCUCAGUGGAAGGUCCGGGGGUGAGGUGUGGGGAAACCUUGGGGUUUCCUCUCUUUGCUAGAGCAGAGCUUCUUUGGGUAUCUGAGUCGUCCUUCUGUGGCUGCUCCACUUGGGAAACCAGACGGGCUUUUCCUUCUGUUUGCUCCUACAGGCAGCAGGGAUUCACUUCUGAGAUCUGGGGUGUUGGGAAGAGCUAGAAGGAUGGCUCCCAAGGCACAGGAGCCUUCCCCGGCUGCAUCUUCUCCUUGUCUUCAUUAGGCUCUCAUUAACUGGGAGAUGUAGGGAUGGAGGACUAUGGAUUUUGAAGAAUACAGACAUAGCCUGUCAGAAUUGGUUGAUAUGUUGGUUCAUUCUCCUGAACUACUUUCUCCCUUCUCUAUUUUUUUUUUUUUCUGGUAAAAAAGGAGAGAAGAGGGGAAUAUUUAAAAAUGAAGAUGAUACAAAGACAAAGGAUAUAUCAAUAAAACAUUUUAAAAGUCUGUUGAUUUUCUGAAUUGAUUUGGUUGUUUGGCUGGAAGAGUUGCUGUUUGCUCAGCAAGAACAUGGCACCAGAUACUGAAACAGAUACGGAGGUUAUUUUCAAACUGCAUGUAGACCCCCAAAUGGAACAUCUUCUUUUUCAAUGGAACCCCUUCUAAAACCCACUAGACAGAUUGAGUUUCACUUUUAGCAAGCUCCUGGCCCUGGGUGAAGGCAGAAACUAGCAGCCAUUAGGGCCCCUUCAGUACAAAUCCUGCUCAAAGGUAAGAUUAUUUGUUGUCUACAUUUCUCCUUCCUUCCUUCCCCAAUUCCCAGGAUUACUUAAUGUCUUUUCUCUCCUUUUUUUUCUCUUUGCCUUCCAUCUCUUCUUUUCCCAUGACCUUUCUCUUUCUCUCCUCUUAUCUCCUUCCCUUUUUUCAUCUUAACAUUUAUAAGGGCCUAUUAUGUGCCAGAUACCGUGUAAGGCACGACAGAAGCUGACAUUCUACUGAAGCCGAGAUGCAAAAUCCUUAAAAGUUAGAUCUUUUUCCUGCAUAUAAUCUAUGCAGCAUCCUGUAAGCAUUCAAUAUUUACAGUGAUGAGACAUUUGGUUCAAGAGGCCCAAUUGUCCCUUUUUCAUUUGCCAUCAAAAACAAAUGAAUGAAUGAACAAAUAAAGGCUUCCCCCCAGGGUCCAUAUGUGAAGAUUCUUUCAUGGCUAGGUUGAUUCAGAUGACCCCAGAGGACCCUCCCCGUAAUAUGGAAAGGUUGGACUAAAUGACCUUUAAGGUGCUUUUCAACUCAGGAGCCAUAAUGCUAAACCUCACCUAGUCUCAUUCAAUUAUUCCCCAAUGGGCUGCACUCUUCUGGGCUUCUCCAGUGCCUUUUCUCCCCAGUCCCUACCCCGGCCACCUGUUUUUCGGCUUCCUUUUACAGCUUGUCUUCCCCACUAGAAUGUAACCUCCUUGAGACUUAAAAGAACUGAUGCUGAGUGAAGGGAGCAGAACCAGGAGAUCACUGUGCCC
Molecule: long non-coding RNA, 1516 nt
Filed under: Sarcophilus harrisii (Tasmanian devil)
Lineage: Eukaryota; Metazoa; Chordata; Mammalia; Dasyuromorphia; Dasyuridae
Description: lncRNA (ENSSHAG00000029445.1)
Source: RNAcentral